GACGAACGCUGGCGGCGUGCUUAACACAUGCAAGUGGUGCGACGAACCAGACUUCGGUCUGGGGCAAAGCCGCGAACGGGUGAGUAACACGUGAGUAAUCUGCCCCGAUGACCGGGACAACCCGAGGAAACUCGGGCUAAUACCGGAUGAUGAGCCUUGGCGUAAGCCUUGUCUCUAAAGGAAGCUUCGGCCUCCGCAUCGGGAGGAGCUCGCGGCCCAUUAGCUUGUUGGUGGGGAAUGGCCUACCAAGGCAACGAUGGGUAGCUGGUCUGAGAGGACGAUCAGCCACACUGGAACUGAGACACGGUCCAGACUCCUACGGGAGGCAGCAGUGGGGAAUCUUGCGCAAUGCGCGAAAGCGUGACGCAGCAACGCCGCGUGGGGGAAGACGGCC
This 394-nucleotide ribosomal RNA is filed under the name uncultured bacterium. Its description in RNAcentral is "bacterial SSU rRNA". It matches the Rfam family "Bacterial small subunit ribosomal RNA", at positions 28 to 416 of the family's 1533-position model. The record is from RNAcentral.